This is a long non-coding RNA of Saccostrea echinata, 588 nucleotides long. RefSeq lists it as uncharacterized. The record is from RefSeq and is a predicted model, not a curated record. The transcript has 2 exons. NCBI's taxonomy places the organism in Eukaryota, Metazoa, Mollusca, Bivalvia, Ostreida, Ostreidae.
UUUCUCUGUUCAAAGAUGCCAAAUUCGUUAUUUUAAUGGUGUUUUCCUUUCUUAUUGCUGCUGGUUGUACUAUUCCUGUGACCUACAUAGCACCGUUUGCAAUAGACAAAGGAUUAGAAACAGAUAUGAUUGAAUACCUCCUCACGAUUUCAUCAGCAAGUGAUUUAAUUGGAAGAACUUUGUUUAUAUUUAUUUCUGAUAAUAAAAAGAUCCAAAGGUGUCAUAUGAUGACCAUAGCAAUUAUGGCAAAUGGAAUUGUCUGUCUGAUAGCAUCGUUCUAUAACGAUUUUGUUACGCUAGCAGUAUUUGGAAUUCUGCAAGCGUCAUUUGGUGGUACAUACUAUUCAUUGAUAAACGUUCUAAUAGUUGAUUUCAUAGGAUUAGAAAAUCUUAGUCAUGGUUUAGUUAUGGGCACGGUAACAAGAGGGACAUCGAUUGCUAUAACAUCAACACUAGUCGGUUUUAUACGAGACAAGACUGGAUCGUAUGUGGGUGGAUUCUACCUCAUGGGGGUCUGUUUGAUUCUUGGUGGAUUUUUAUUGUUAUUGAAGCCAUUUAUAUCAAAAUAAAGAUGUUUUCCUGGGUUAA